UGCAAUAUUUUCAACACUUCCUUGCAUGCCAUUUCAUGUGGCAUAUCUUUUCUGGUCACAAAUUUGUGCAGCGAAUCUAUUUGCAUGAUCGACUCCGGGCCUGUGGGACCGUUCACUUGCACUUGAUGCUGAGUCUUUUACAUGUACCCAUAAACUGCAGAUAUGCACAUCAGAUCCCUGCGAGCACUUUCAAAAUUCAAUUAUUUUCGACAACAGGCACAUAUGCAAUACUGACAUAAUCCGGAAUACCACUAAGCAGCUGGGACACAUUUUUGUUGACCAUACUCGCAGGUAAAAUAAGUACAUCAUGUGGACAGCUCCAGCUCAUUUUCCUUAAGUCAGUGUGUACAAGGGUUAUGCAAAAAUAAUUUUUUUCUCACGCACCGAUUAUUUUGCUUUAUAAGCAAGAGAACCCACCACGUUAGUGUAACGUAUCUUGUGCAUCACACUAAUAUGUGCUUUCAUUUACCAAGUGAGAUGAGUUACUUUUAUGGCUCAUUCAGUCAUAUAUCACACUGCAAGCUGCAUUCAUCAAUCUUCAAUGGGAUUUUGCAAAUGUUUAAUGAAACAUGUUUCCCUUUUAUGCAGAUAUGCAAUGGCAAGCCCUUCCGUGUGUUCCAAAGGUAAAAUUUAAGCUCUAAAUUAAAGAAGACAUUUCUAGUCAGAAACAAGCAAAAAUAGUGAAUGCAGAGCAUCAGAAGCCCAAGGUACAGAAAUUAUGAGAAGUGUCGAAUGAUUUUAAGGAAAGAGUCGUAUUUAAAAAUGCAAGACCCUUUAGUGGAGGUCAAGCAAGUCAAUAUAGGUAGAAUACUCUGCAAAAUUAUGCGAGUGAGGGGAUGUCAAACAAUGGGUCAGGAAAUGCAUUGUUUUUCUGCAAAACAAAAGCUGAUUGCCAUUACAUAAGUCACUUUAGCAUCAUGAUAAAUUCAGAAAUAAACCAAAAAACAAGACACGCAAAAAUAAACAAAACAUUUAAUGAUAUUUCAGCAGAACUUUUUGUUGGGCUAGUUGGUGCAUAUUACUGAAGUACUAUAGCGCCAAACAGACGACACAAGAAGAAGAGACACGGACAUAAGCGCUCGUCCGUGUCUCUUCUUGUGUCGUCUGUUAGGCGCUAUAGUACUUCAGCCAUUUAAUGAUGCUCUCUCCACACUGGGAUAAAUAAAAACAAACACAUCACAUCUAAUGUGGACAUAUCAGAUGCCUUGUGAAACAUAAAGGAACAAUUCAGUUUUGAGCUAUGGCACUUGCCGCAUAGAUGUGGGGGGGCCUUGCACCAAUAGUGAUAGUUACCACUGCAUUUAGAAAUUGAAAGCAUUCGUGCAGACAAGGAUGAUUCUUUAUAUUUUUGGCUACCACUUCAAAUGCCUCCACCAAGUGUUACAAUGCUGCACGCAGCCAUACUAAGGAUCUCGCAACAACACCUGCAGGUAAAAAGCAGAAGCAGUCAAAGUGCUGGUGUGUUCUGGACACUAUGUUUGAAAACUUUUAGGCAAGAAGAGUGCAAGAAGCAGACAUAACUGCAUUUAUUUCCAUAAUUCCCCAUUUAAAUGGCCUUUUCUUUUUGCUUAGACAAUGCCUACGCCUAGCCACAGCAGCUCCCUCAUACAGACUCCGCAAACCAAGAGGCUGUGGAGGCAAAUGCAGGCAGCCAGCACACCUCGAACAGCCACCUUGACUGCGGGUGUGUCACCCUAGUCGCCAAGGAAACAUUUGAGGGAAAGUGACAGGCAAUGUGAACAGCCACUCCUCCAUGUAAACAAUACUCUUUCUCUCGGAUGACUCCUACGCCUCACCACGCCAGCACACUUGUGCACAAAGAUGCCGCAGAGGCACGUGCAGGUCAGAGGCAAGAAGCAGUGGCACUGGUGUCGACAUUUACCCAAUUUCUUUUUCUUACACUGAGGCAGCCAGCACACCUCGAACAGCCACCUCGACUGCGGGUGUGUUAGUUGAUCCCUGUUGUACAUGUGCUCAUAAUAAACUUCAGUAAACUUGAACUUCAUAAUAAACGUGAAGGCAAAUGGUACAUUGAUGCAUUGUAUUUUUGAACAUUUAUUGUACACAUACAAUAUAUGUUAUACUUUGCAGUGCUACAGAGCGUAUUUUGAAGCUUCCCCCUAUAUUUUGCACCUUUAAUUACGUAUGUGUUGUGUGGCCCUCAAUGCAGUUCAUGUUGUAGCAGCUGCUUUGUCUGUGUAUCGCACAUUGGCUUAAGCUCGUGAUAUCCACAUACUUCUCUCACAUAUACAAAAUAAAGUUCUAUGUGGUCCUCAGUGUUACAACAAAAAAUGAAAGUAAACAAUCCGAUCGUGGAAUUAUGUUUAUUACAGUGAUUCCUACGACAGUUACUGACAAGUUGACAACUUGAACUGGUCAAUCGGUCCACAGCCUCCUCUAUUUUUCAAAAAUAAAGGAGGCUAUGAUCCGUCAUGGCAAGGAAUUGUAUGUAUACAUAAAAAAAGGGGGGUAUAGGAUUAGGGCGGUACGAAAAAAUGUACCAACAUCGUCCUCUAGACCCAUUCCGUUGAGGUACCGUAACAAAACGUAUUAUGCAUAAAGUUCAUACAACCAACUCUGAUAUUACUACAGACGCCAGGCGACGCGAGCUACAUUUGUCAUGAUGCAUUCGCGACUGCACCGGAUGCCCUCCACAUUAUUCUCGUUAAUCGUGCUCACUGCGCCGAGGCAAAAGAAAGACCAUGGGCGCAGGUGCCUUUAAAGUAUCUCGACCUUGCGAGGCACGGCUGCGCGUGCCAGGGGAGCUGUCCGUGCGAACACUCCCUGGCACACACCUGCCUCGGCGGCCCCAACCUACGUACCGUUCUGCUUCGAGCUUUGAUCCCCCCACUGUCCCUCGGGUGCCCUGGAGUUCCUGCGCCGCCUGCUCUACUACCAUCUCAGGUGCUCUCCUGAGACUUCCGUUUGUCUGUUACAUGUGCCCUACAGCUGGAUCAUUACUUAUAAUAAUAAAAAACCCGAUCUAUCGUCACGACGAUAGAUCGCGAAAGCGGCUUUUGCAACAUACCGCGCCCGUGCGAAGAUAAUUACGGAACGCCAACGAGGAAUCUGACCACAGCUUCGAGCUCGUAACGUCGUCGAGUGACACUCCUGCAACAGGCGUGACCGCUGAAAACCGCAUACCGCCAGAAGCUUGAACAGGAUCAUCCCUCGGUUGCAUAACUGCCGGCUCUACGGCCAACAUGGACCACACCCACACCAUCCCGCAACAUAGAAUAAAGAACCGACUUAUGAAGCCCAAACACACGGCUGCACGCACACAUCACAACACUUCAAGCGAGACGCCAUGCUGCUACGCUGCUACUGUUGCCGGAUUAAAACUGACUACUGUCACCAAGUCUAGCAAGCGUCUCAGGAGCUGGCAACCUCGGCGCGUAGCAACAUGGCGGCGCUCUUGAGGUUCCCGAUUUUAAUGCAUGGGCCCUAUGGGUAGCUUGUCCUCUAGAGUCAGUAUAGUAACUCUAUGGGCUGAACAUUACCGUUCAUUGCGCUCAGUGCCAAGUCAGUGUCAAGUUAUAGUCAAUUUCUGGCCGGCCGCAGCAAGGUUUCUACUGCUUUACAUUUCGCGGCAUUUUGUGAUUAAGGUGUGUUGUAGCGUCGGUGCUCUUUGUCAGCUCGGUCAGUUCUAGCAGGUGUUUUAUGCCCAAGUUAACGGUUGGUAGCGACGAAAUUCCAGUAGCGAAAUGCCGCGACGAUGCGGCGUCGCGGGCUGCCCGAACGGUCCACGUCGUCUGAACAAGAGCACUAAAAGCUCUGACAGUAAUGUCAACUACCAUGCGGUGCCGUCUGACGAACGUCGACGUUCCCGCUGGUUCAGUUCAGUUCCCAUGCUACAGCGGCAAAGAAAGAAGCCGAUCAGACUACAUGUGUGCUCGCUGCAUUUCCGCCCUGAGGAUUAUGAACAUAAUUCUCUCUUAAGACAGUCAAUGGAAGUGCCUUUCCAAGCGCGACUUCGUCGCAACGCUGUACCGUCGGUAUUCACUUCAUCCCACGAAGAACUUCAGACAACUUCAUUCCAGCUGAAACCGACAGAAAUCAGUGGCAAAAGUGCCACCUGGGAAGCACCGUUGCUGCAGGACGAAAGUGUCGUGGCUAACGUUGCCGUUGUGAUCACGGAAAGUGACAUUACCGGCACCUCCAUGGAAGGCAGCGCAGAGACGCUUUCCUCUGGCGCCAAAAACGCGGAGACGCAGACGGAUUUCCUGCAGAGCCCCACCGAAAGAAUUGGUUAUGAUUACCGCAGCGUCGGAAACGCGAAAGGAGUGCAGGUUAAACCGUUAUCGUGCCCGAGCGUAGGAAUUCAGGUGAACACAACAAUGAAGUUAACGAGAUCCAAGGCGCUUCAAGUGAACAUUUUGAAGGCUUUACAGCAGAUUAAGCGACGGCACAGUACUUGUCAGCCGGAAAACCAGUGAACCACCGGAGAAGUAUGCCAGUAAGGAAGCUCAGCUACACUCCCUCACCUGGUGCAUCUCCAGUACUGAGGGAGCCCGACAGGCAUGACGCAACCUAACAGCAGCCCAGAUGUGACACUUGAGAACCUGCUCUUCAGCAGACUGAACCAAAUGCAGCCUCCCCAUCUGACUGCAGGGCCUGAACUGGUGGGAAGCUACGGGCGCGAGAGGCCUAAUAGGACAUAUACGCAUUUCAACAGCGAUUGGCUACGAAACAGAAGUGCAGUGCCAAACAAAAGUAAAGCACUGGGUCACAAGCUAUGCUGAAACGCAAACAGCAGUCCCUGCGAAUGCGCCCUGUGAGAAGUUGAUGCAGUGAUGUCACGAGGACGAAGGCGAUGUUGGAUGUUUGUCGAAGGGAGAAUGCUGAGGAGACGUCUAUGCUGAGAGAGGCACGGCAAAAGAGACAGUGCGACCGCACUCCAAGCCAGACGGUGAGGUCUUCUUGUCCCUGCGCCUACGUGCUCGUGUCACUCGUAGUGAUACGUGAAUUCGAUAAUUGUUCAAGGCAGCAUCUGUUAUCUGCGUGAUUUGUUGCUUGAAUUGACAAAUUGAAGUUUAGAGAAAUAAUAAAACACACAAAUGGAAUGUCUGUGUUUUUUGUUUUACUUCGCACUGAAGCAAGAGAGAUAUAUGUACUUCCGCUUUGUCUGCUUGUACGCACGGUCGUGCAGUGAUGUGCGCAGGUACCGAAACUAUGCCAUUUUCUACCGUGUUCCAGCUUGUGAUCAUGCUUUGCGAUCCUCAGUAUUCGUGCAGCACUGAAUUAUACUGCUAGUCAUGCGCCCUUGUGCACAGCGCGCAAUAUAGUGUGCAGUGCGAGCGAGACAACAGCUCGCGCGCGACGCUGUCAGCGGAAGUCCGUAGCACCGAAAAAAAAAAAAGAAAAAGGCAAGGAGAAAAAUAAUGAAGCCUGACAUAUGCAUCAUGCGAUCCUUGAAGUCUGGUAUGGGAGAACGCAGAGAAGGAAUUUUGCUUGUGGAGGCUAGACGGGGCGAGUAGAGAGAGCAUCUUGCUUGGCAGUGGAGCCCAACUGCUGAAAUCAUGGGUUCGCGGCUCUGAAAUAUUUCUAUCUCGGGUAUUAAUAAGCUGAUACGAAAAACAUUUGCGGCAGAACACUCCCUAGAGGACACGUAACAACUUCCAGCAUACAAUCGAAAUUUGCUAUGGGCCUGGUGAGGGGCCUUUUAACGACUGUAAAAGACAUCCAGUCAUUUUUUCUAACUGGCCGAUUUUUCAGACGUGUUCACUGCCCCUACGCAGUUCGAAAAAUCAGAUGUUAACAGUACC
Dermacentor albipictus is the source of this 5765-nucleotide non-coding RNA. The record is from RefSeq and is a predicted model, not a curated record. NCBI's taxonomy places the organism in Eukaryota, Metazoa, Arthropoda, Arachnida, Ixodida, Ixodidae.